ACUCAUCCCUCCCAUCUUUCCUUGAAGGAGAGUUACACUUUGAGUCUGUGCAUUUUGACGAAGCAAAGCCAGACAUGUCUCCUGGAACGUUACCGGUGCUGAGAGAGGAAGAGGAAGAUGUAGGACAGGAAGAGAUAGAGGGAGAGCCUGGUGGAGAAACUGAAACUGUAUCUGACCAUAUCUCAGUGGAGAUAUAUGAUGACGAAGAGGAGACUCAACAUAUUGAUGAGGAAGAGAUAGGUUCAGGAGAAGAGGAGACUCAACCUAUUGAUGAGGAAGAGAUAGGUUCAGGAGAAGAGGAGACUCAACAUAUUGAUGAGGAAGAGAUGGGUUCAGGACAUGAGGAUAGUCAACCUAUUGAUGAGGAAGAGAUGGGUUCAGGACAUGAGGAUACUCAACCUAUUGAUGAGGAAGAGGCAGAGAUGAUGGACUCAGGAGAAGAAGAGGACACAGGAAUAAAGAACCUUGGCUCGCCAGGGGGUUGGUCUGUGGUUGUUCACUACGAUGAAGAAAGCCGGGAUGGUGCACUCCAGGACAUAGAGAAGAUUGUAACCACAGGACAACCUUUUGCCGAACAAGACAGUGAAAACCGUGAAGACAGAAACGCAGAGCAAGGUGCUUUCGAGAACAGUGAUGUGAGGUGUUUUGUGGGUGUCACUGAAGACGUGACCAUGGAGAUCACAGCAGAUAUAUGUGAAGAAGGGGAAGAAAACCAAGAGGAAUCAUCUGAUUCAGACCUGGAGGUCCUGACUAGCUCUAUCACCAAAAAACAGAGAAAAGAGGGAAAUAAAGUAGCGAACUUACUCUCCCAGCAGACUGUUCCUCAGGAGAAUGAAGAGGAAGACGAGCAAGAAGAAGAUGGAGCUCCAGAGGUUGUUUAUGAUUGGCCAGAUCCUGCAGCAACACAGAAUGUGCAAGCUCUUAUGGUCAACGCCUUUGUGGAACACCCGCUUCAGAAGAAAAUUAAGGAGUUCCAAUUGGACGACAACCAAGAGGCGGAUGAAAGAUUUGCAGAUUACCCCUCUGUCUGCUCUCCGUGUAAAUACAAAAAGGACGGAGGAAAACUGUCUAGUCCCUUGGAGGGUAUCUGGAAUACAGAAGAGAAAGUAGACGUCAUGGAAGAGGUAACAGCCUCUAUCUCUCCACGCGUAGAAGGUGAGCAAGAUUUAGCAGAUUCUGCAAUGUUUAAUACCAAUAUUGACACUAGCAUGAGGAAGAGUAUUGGAUACCAUCUUGAACCUCAGAGUGACAGCAAUAGUUCCAGUGGCAGUUCUAGUGAGGAUGAGGAGGAACAACAGAAGUAUAAGGAAGAACAUCAAGCGCUGCCAAGAUACCAGGGUCUUCCUCGGAGAGACCGGGGGUCUGAGGAUUCUCCUCUUCAAGUUCAGUGGGGAGGUGGAGAGGAGGACGGCUCCAAGCAGAGCGUUGCUGCCGACCUGCAUCUUUCAGAAACCAUCUCCGAUGUCCCCACGUUUACCCUUCACAGUGAGGCCAGACGCGGUAGAGCAGCUAUAACUAUCUCCAGAGGUACCGGCAACAUGUCACCAUCUGGCUCUGAGGAAAGUUUGCCCGGAGCGUUGUGGACAUCGGAGGCUGAACAAAGAGAGGAUAAACGAGAGACUUGGCUUUGGGGUGAGGCUGGGCCAGCCUCUGAGGAUAGUUUGCCCGGAGCAUUGUGGACAUCGGAGGCUGAACAAAGAGAAGAUAAACGAGAGACUUGGCUUUGGGGUGAGGCUGGGCCAGGCGCUUUAGAAGAGGAACAUCUUUGCAAAGUUCAACUGGAAGUAGCAGGAAGGUUGAAGAGCCACAUUCACACUGAUAUAAACUGGGACACAGGGGAAAAUAAUGCGGAAUGUGGUGGUUUAAUUCAAGAUUACCAACAUGACGCGUCUGGAAUCACAGAGAGUGGAGAACUUGCAGACGAAGAGGAUGACGAAGAGGAUAAUAGGAGUUGGGAACAAGAGAAAGAGAGAAUCAAGGCAUUCUACAAGUUUUAUAAUGAUGAAGAGGAAGAGGGGGAGAAUGCCACUGGAACAGAAGGUGAUUUUUCAGGGAGGAGGCCUAGAGUUCAGUUCUGCAUGAAUCCCCUGCCUCAAGUCAUUGAAUACACAGACAGCACACUUUACCAGCAGAUGACGAUGUUGUGA
Long non-coding RNA from Oncorhynchus mykiss (rainbow trout), 2147 nucleotides. The record is from Ensembl. Lineage: Eukaryota; Metazoa; Chordata; Actinopteri; Salmoniformes; Salmonidae.